RNAcentral lists this long non-coding RNA (1753 nucleotides) under Mus musculus (house mouse). RNAcentral's name for it is "RIKEN cDNA 1110015O18 gene". The record is from RNAcentral. Lineage: Eukaryota; Metazoa; Chordata; Mammalia; Rodentia; Muridae.
ACCAAAGAACCUCUUGCACUGGAAAUUGGGUACUUCUCUAGGAUCUUAUGUGUGCUUGCUGUUUGAAGCUGCAGAAAAGUGAAUAAUCAAUUAAGUAUUGAUUUCUUGUAAGAUUUGGUAAAUUUCAAAGGCAAGACAAAGAGGAUGGCUUAAGGAAACACUGCAGGGACUUGGCGUAAAUUAGACAACUAACGGAGAUGCAGAAUAAAAUAACACCUCAAGUGAAGAUUUCCUUGGAAGAAUUAGCACUAGCUAUUGGAAGACAACGGUGGAUUUAAUCAAAAUAGAAGGCAUGCAAGAAUUUCACCCGUGAACGAGAAAAAGGAGCUAAUUAUAACCACCUUUUAAAUGGAGCUAAUUUGACUGAAUGGAUGCAAAUGUGCUUUACUUAUGGAUGAAGAAACAAGCCUUUCUGCAUGAUCUUGGGAUCAUUUUAUCUGCUAAGCAUUGCAGCUCCUGUGCCCUUCUACACAUUUUUAUUUCCAGAGAAGGUAUUUAUAUGUAAACAAGAGCUAACCAUGCAAAAGAUUCAUCCAUCGGGACAAUAGACUACGGUAUAUGAGCUAUAAUUAUCACUUGCAGACUCUCAGAAUCUCCUCUAACUUGGGGCUUUUGCAAUCUUUGCAUGCAGCAUGUUAUGGUAAUAAAUGAAAGGUGAAGUCUUCUUAUGAAGUGGAUUUGCUCCUUCAUCUUUCAGUACAUGAUGUCAGUCUCAAGCAAUAGCAGAAGAUACUCAUCACUGUGGGCAAACUAAUGACACAUGUUAAGGAAUUCAGUCUUAUGGAAAUCAUCUAAAGGUUUAGAAAUUAGCCACUGAUGAUCUCUAUCAAGAAGAAAGACUAUGCUAUCCUCUCAUUUGCCUUCUGAACAGCAAGAAUGAAAAUUCCAAAAUCAUAGUGGGUUUUUCAAUAUCCACACAGAAAAUGACCGUUUCGUAGUCUGGUUAUUUCAACCUUCACAAUGACCAUUUCAGUGAAGUAUUGUGACCUAACUGCCUAGAAAUCAUCUGCAACUCCACUGAAAAAAAGCUCUCUAUGGAAAGAAUAAUUCAGUGUCUCUGGAUUACUCGUGGAUGUUUGAGUAGCAAUUUCACGAUCAACCUAUUGUUUUACCUCCAACACAACUUAACCCACAUUUCCAAGGAUGAAAAUUAACUUCUUAAGAAAAAACUACUAUACAAUAAGCAAUCAAAAGUCUUGGAAGAAGGCUAGGUGGAAGAUUAAGCUAGUGUCGCUAAGCUGGAGUGGAUCGUCAUAAAUCACACAAAUGAAAAUAAAAGGAACAUUUUUAAAAUGAGAAUGGUAUCUUCGCUGUUAGCAACGUAGAGAUAUAGCUAAUGGAAACUGAAAAUGGGAAGCAUUUGUAUUCACUGUUUAAAAAGUGUGCAUAAACAUAUAUAUAACCAACAAUUGGAAGCCAAUAAUCAUCAGUAUUGAUUAUUAUUAAAGGGUUGUUUAAAUAAAUUUUUGUACAUCAACACAAGAGAAUACAGUGCAACAAAAGGUGAUGAAAUAGUCUGUUUAUCUGAUCCUACCCAAUAAUGAAUGCGAAUGCAUCUUAUUAAUACAUAUAGCAAUGUAACAUGUAUGUUAUAUAGAUAUUGAAAGUGAGUUCCAGAUACGAUAAGGAAAAAGCAAGAUAUAGAGAAAGCAUAUUAUAUGUUUCCAUGUGCAUUUGGAUAUGUAUGUAUUUUAUUGCAAUAUGUAAAAAAAAAGGGUCAAAGACAUAACUGCUCACUUAAAAGCAAACUCCA